UACGUAGGGGGCAAGCGUUGUCCGGAUUUAUUGGGCGUAAAAGGCUUGUAGGUGGCCACGCCAAGUCGGAUGUGAAAUCUCCCGGCUCAACUGGGAGGGGUCAUUCGAUACUGGCGGGCUCGAGGCCGGUAGGGGGAAGUGGAAUUCCCGGUGUAGUGGUGGAAUGCGUAGAUAUCGGGAGGAACACCAGUGGCGAAGGCGGCUUCCUGGACCGGUUCUGACACUGAGGGGCGAAAGCGUGGGGAGCGAUCCGG
Molecule: ribosomal RNA, 254 nt
Filed under: uncultured bacterium
Lineage: Bacteria
Description: partial 16S ribosomal RNA
Rfam family: Bacterial small subunit ribosomal RNA
Source: RNAcentral